AACGAUCGCUGGCGGCAUGCCUAACACAUGCAAGUCGAACGAAGGCUUCGGCCUUAGUGGCGCACGGGUGCGUAACGCGUGGGAAUCUGCCCUUUGGUUCGGAAUAACAGCUGGAAACGGCUGCUAAUACCGGAUGAUGACGAAAGUCCAAAGAUUUAUCGCCAGAGGAUGAGCCCGCGUUGGAUUAGGUAGUUGGUGGGGUAAAGGCCUACCAAGCCGACGAUCCAUAGCUGGUCUGAGAGGAUGAUCAGCCACACUGGGACUGAGACACGGCCCAGACUCCUACGGGAGGCAGCAGUGGGGAAUAUUGGACAAUGGGCGCAAGCCUGAUCCAGCAAUGCCGCGUGAGUGAUGAAGGCCCUAGGGUUGUAAAGCUCUUUUACCCGGGAAGAUAAUGACUGUACCGGGAGAAUAAGCCCCGGCUAACUCCGUG
Molecule: ribosomal RNA, 433 nt
Filed under: uncultured bacterium
Lineage: Bacteria
Description: partial 16S ribosomal RNA
Rfam family: Bacterial small subunit ribosomal RNA
Source: RNAcentral